Molecule: long non-coding RNA, 1405 nt
Organism: Drosophila willistoni
Lineage: Eukaryota; Metazoa; Arthropoda; Insecta; Diptera; Drosophilidae
Exons: 2
Source: RefSeq, a predicted model, not a curated record
UUUGUAGGGAGCCUACACGAAAAAUUAGUGACGCUUUGCUUUUUUACGUCUCUUUUUCUUUUAGCGUUACUUAAAGUUGGCCCGUUCGUGAAUUCUCGAGGGUGAGGAGGAACGAAGUGGUCGACCUUUUUUAUGUCUUUUAGCGCUUGCGCGAACCGAGAUCAGACGCCCACGUAGUGUUGCAAUUUACCGCAUAGACCAACAUAGACAGAGACCUCCCCCCACCCCCACAUCGAUGGAGGUUGCAGAGUAACUGGAGUGACUUUGCAGCUUUGUAGUUUGCAGCUUGGGCCACCAUUUUUGAUUUCGAUGGCUCUGUAGUUGGUUUAUGAAGCAAACAGAAUGAGGCACAAGGCUGGUGCGCCUAGGGAUGCUGCUGCUUGUGCCGCGGCUUGGCCUUGACAUUCGCCGUUAACUUUAACCGCGUGAUCGAAAUGAUGAUGAUGAUGGCCCCCCAAAGGCGAAAACUUUACUUGUGGCUCUUGUCAACGUUUCUUGAAUGCUGAGCACUUGUUCAACAAACCGCAGUUCACGGUAACGGUAAAUGACUUCAAACCACCCCCGACCAUCUAGAGGCAACCACAUUGACAUCGACAGCGACGGCGACAAGCCGAGGUCACAGCUGAUAGACAGCUGUCUUCUGGUUACGUCAGUCAAAAUGACGCAUCGUGUUUUGGUAACAGGAAAGCAUAAAACACAAAGCAGAGAUAAACAGAGCGUGGUCGCGCGCCACAUCUCUCUCUGCAAGAAGACGGGUGGGGAGGAAAACUGAUGGGGAUACUGGAGCGAAAGCGGCACAAAAAGAAAAUCCACGAAGAAACAAAAGAAUAUGACCAAAAAACCAAAGCAAAAGCAAAAACACACCCAGACGCAGAAAAUGUAACGCAAAAGUAACAUAACACAAAAGAGCGCCAUCAUCAGAAACCACCCCCGCAACUCUGAAUGCAAUUAGCUAGAGUGCAACAGACUCUAGCAUGGGAAAGAGAAACAAAAAAUGAAAAAAGAAAACAACACACUCACUCUUCCAAAAAACAGGGCUCAUAAUCUUGCAAGCGCCUGGUCCUGGGCGUUUUUAUUGUUGUUGUUGGCUUUUUCGUUUUGGGGAGCCCUGCAAUUAUUUGUCGCGACGCAACGCAACAUGACGCCAACGCUAACGGCAACGCCAAACAAUUCUUAUGUGUGUUUGCUUUUGUGGUGUGUGUGUAAGUAUGUGUUGUGUGUCUGUGAGUAUGAGAAAGUCAACAACAAUGACCGACGAAAGUGGAGAGAACCUUGUGAGUAUUUUAUGAGCGCCUGUUGCUUUGCGGACAAAAUUUGAGCAGAUCCGCUCACAAAAAAACGGCAUUAUAUACAAAACAAACAAAAGUGAACGACCAUUGAAAUAAAUAGUUUUCGUUACAGUGUG